RNAcentral lists this ribosomal RNA (751 nucleotides) under Acanthephyra armata. RNAcentral describes it as "eukaryotic LSU rRNA". It matches the Rfam family "Eukaryotic large subunit ribosomal RNA", at positions 42 to 650 of the family's 3401-position model. Lineage: Eukaryota; Metazoa; Arthropoda; Malacostraca; Decapoda; Oplophoridae. The record is from RNAcentral.
AUUAAUAAGCGGAGGAAAAGAAACCAACCGGGAUUCCCUGAGUAAGGGCGACUGAAAUGGGAGGAGCCCAGCGCAUAACCUCGCGGUCCCUGGCCGGCCGACGAGGGGUGUUGCGUUUCGGUGGACCCGCCCCGCUCGGGCCGUUUACCGCCUAAGUCAUUGCUUGAAAGCAGCCCCGCGGAGGGUGAUAGGCCCGUGUGGCGGCGCCUGUAAAAAGGGUAAAGGCGGCUCGGGCGGAGGGGUCUUCACCGUAGAGUCGGGUUGCUUAGUACUGCAGCCCUAAGCAGGUGGUAAACUCCAUCUAAGGCUAAAUACUACCACGAGUCCGAUAGAGAACAAGUACCGUGAGGGAAAGUUGAAAAGGACUUUGAAGAGAGAGUUCAAAAGGACGUGAAACCGUUAGAAGCUUAAACGGGUGGAACCGCGAAGGUCGAACGAGGGGAUUCAGCUCGUCGGUCUGCGGAAGCGGGCGGCGGUACAUGAGAAUUCCAGUGAGAGGACCCGGCGCAAACGACGACAUGCCGUGGCCCCGUCCCCGCCUCCGGAGUUGCCGGCGGGCUUACUUCUCCCUCCAGUAGGUCGCCGCGACCCGUCGCGGGGACCCCCAAGGCCGUCCCGGAUUGGUAGCCCAGGCGCAGCUCUGGGUGAUGACCGGCGGCGGUUCUGACGGGCCCCUGCGACGGUCACUGCCAGGAGGCCGGUCUCGGCCGGCCUCUCGCGGCGUGCAAGGGAUCGGUAAUCCACCCGACCC